RNAcentral lists this ribosomal RNA (465 nucleotides) under uncultured bacterium. Its description in RNAcentral is "partial 16S ribosomal RNA". It matches the Rfam family "Bacterial small subunit ribosomal RNA", at positions 338 to 795 of the family's 1533-position model. The record is from RNAcentral.
CCUACGGGUGGCAGCAGUAGGGAAUCUUCCACAAUGGGCGAAAGCCUGAUGGAGCAACGCCGCGUGGGUGAAGAAGGUCUUCGGAUCGUAAAACCCUGUUGUUAGAGAAGAAUGUGCGUGAGAGUAACUGUUCACGUUUCGACGGUAUCUAACCAGAAAGCCACGUCUAACUACGUGCCAGCAACAGCGGGAAUACGACGGUGGCAAGCGUUAUCCGGAGUUAUUGGGCGUAAAGGGAACGCAGGCGGUCUUUUAAGUCUGAUGUGAAAGCCUUCGGCUUAACCUGAGUAGUGUAUUGGAAACUGGGAGACUUGAGUGCGUAAGAGGAGAGUGGAACUCCAUGUGUAGCGGUGAAAUGCGUAGAUAUAUGGAAGAACACCAGUGGCGAAAGCAGCUCUCUGGGCUGUAACUGACGCUGAGGUUCGAAAGCGUGGGUAGCAAACAGGAUUAGAUACCCUAGUAGUC